RNAcentral lists this ribosomal RNA (217 nucleotides) under uncultured Variovorax sp. RNAcentral's name for it is "partial 16S ribosomal RNA". It matches the Rfam family "Bacterial small subunit ribosomal RNA", at positions 137 to 354 of the family's 1533-position model. The record is from RNAcentral. Lineage: Bacteria; Pseudomonadati; Pseudomonadota; Betaproteobacteria; Burkholderiales; Comamonadaceae.
GGGGGAGUAACGCAGCGAAAGCUGUGCUAAUACCGCAUACGAUCUACGGAUGAAAGCAGGGGAUCGCAAGACCUUGCGCGAAUGGAGCGGCCGAUGGCAGAUUAGGUAGUUGGUGAGGUAAAGGCUCACCAAGCCUUCGAUCUGUAGCUGGUCUGAGAGGACGACCAGCCACACUGGGACUGAGACACGGCCCAGACUCCUACGGGAGGCAGCAGGU